GAUAGGAGGAAGCCGAAUUACGGUGGCUGAAAGUUCAGCUAGUCCACGAACAACAGGCAGUUAAGGAUGUCGAGGCAGAGUCCGAGGUCUUGAGGAGGAGGCUUCGAGAGUCAGAGGACGAGCAUCGGUGAUUCCACCAAAUAUUCCAAGAUAUGCUGCUGAAAAAGAUGGAACUAGAAGAAGAAGUCAAAAAUUUAAGACAAUCCAUAGCGGGGGC
RNAcentral lists this long non-coding RNA (217 nucleotides) under Elaeis guineensis (African oil palm). RNAcentral's name for it is "long non-coding RNA (EGUI_LNC042353)". The record is from RNAcentral. Lineage: Eukaryota; Viridiplantae; Streptophyta; Magnoliopsida; Arecales; Arecaceae.